This 1862-nucleotide long non-coding RNA is filed under the name Solanum tuberosum (potato). RNAcentral describes it as "long non-coding RNA (STUB_LNC004231)". Lineage: Eukaryota; Viridiplantae; Streptophyta; Magnoliopsida; Solanales; Solanaceae. The record is from RNAcentral.
UGACUAACCAGGUGAAGCAUUUCACUUUGGUGGGGAUCAAUCCUCUCCAAAUACUCUUCCAGUGAUGAUGGUAGCCUCUAACCCCAACUUGUAUGCCUUUCUUGUAAGCACUGUUUACUGUGAAUUUGCCAUCCUUGUUGUGCUUCCAAAUAACUCUAUCUGGUGCAUUUGUUACUAGAUUGGUUCCCCCCAAUUUUCCCAGGAAAGAAGCCACUCUAUCUACUUCCUAGUCAUUCAAUAGACUUCUGAAAGAUAGGUCCCAAAUUCACAUACUCUGGCUUCAGGAUUGUUGCAGAUUGAGAAAAGAUCUGGGAAUGACUCACUUAGAGGAAUUUGAUCAAUCCAUCCAUCUCUCCAAAACUUGAUCUUGUUGCCAUUUCCAAUUUUGAGAAACACAUUUUCUUCCAUAGAGUUCCAUAAAGCUCUGAUUGACCUCCAUACUCCCCAUCCAUAGGGUUCUGACACUAUCUCUGUACACCAUGGGUUCAAUUCCCCAUACUUUGCCACUAUCACCUCCUUCCAUAGGGUUCCUUCCUCACUAGUAUAUCUCCACAACCACUUCAUCAAAAGGCUCUUGUUUUGGAUUCUCAAAUUUCUAAUACCCAGUCCCCCUCUUUCUUUGCUUAGCAUCACAGUAUUCCAUUUCACUAAAUGGUAACCCUUGCCCUCUCCCUCUUUGCCUUUUUUCCAGAGGAAGUUUCUUCUCAGUCUGUCCAGCUUUUUGAUAACUAUUGGAGGAAUUGGAAAUAACGACAUAACAUAAGUAGGCAGUGAAUCUAAACAGAGUUUAUCAAGAUCACUCAACCCCCCAAGGAUAGAUAUUGAGUCUUCCAUCUUGAUAAUUUUUUUUCUGCUUUGCUUUUUCCAGAAUUCCAUCCCUUAUCCCCCAAAGCUUUAUGUUUGCUCCCUAGUGGCAUUCCCAAGUAGGUUGUCGGCAAUUUCUCUACUUUACACCCUAGAAUGCUUGCCAAUCCUUGAAUCUGAGGCACCUCCUUGACUGCAAUCAAGCUGCUUUUCCCCCAAUUGACCCUUAGCCCUGAUACUGCUUCAAAUAAGAUCAGAAUCAAUCUGAUGUAGUUCAGCUGUUCGGCUUCUGGCUCACAAAGGAUGAUAGUAUCAUCUGCGUAUAGCAAAUGGCUGAUCUCCUUUCCAUUCCCUAUUCUGUCUCCUAUUUGGAAACCCUUGAUCCACCUGUUCUGUGUAGCUAUUCUCAUCAUACUGUCAAAACCUUCCAUUACUAGAAUAAAGAGAAAAGGAGACAGUGGAUCACCUUGUCGCAGCCCCCUUUCAUUGCAUGGGACACAUUUCCUUUUUUUAACAAGUAAUAAGUGAAUUUCAUUGCACAAGGAGUUAAACCUUGGUAUACAAAAUAGUACAUUUAGCUUCUGACACAACUCACAUCAUUAACAUUAAGCACACUUUCUCAAGCAAAUACAAUUUAGACCACAUUAUAACCAAAUCUGAACUCUAGUUUAACAAUUUUGGACCACUAAAACUAUAAUUAAUGAAUUGAAAGCUAAGUUAUUAAUCUUCCUGCCAAGUUAAACAGUGCUGCCCCAAAGCUUUAUGUUUGCUCCCUAGUGGCAUUCCCAAGUAGGUUGUCGGCAAUUUCUCUACUUUACACCCUAGAAUGCUUGCCAAUCCUUGAAUCUGAGGCACCUCCUUGACUGCAAUCAAGCUGCUUUUCCCCCAAUUGACCCUUAGCCCUGAUACUGCUUCAAAUAAGAUCAGAAUCAAUCUGAUGUAGUUCAGCUGUUCGGCUUCUGGCUCACAAAGGAUGAUAGUAUCAUCUGCGUAUAGCAAAUGGCUGAUCUCCUUUCCAUUCCCUAUUCUGUCUCCUAUUUGGAAACCCUUGAUCCACC